Molecule: long non-coding RNA, 300 nt
Filed under: Musa acuminata (dwarf banana)
Lineage: Eukaryota; Viridiplantae; Streptophyta; Magnoliopsida; Zingiberales; Musaceae
Description: long non-coding RNA (MACU_LNC006096)
Source: RNAcentral
CCCCGCGCCACCUCCUCCCGCAGCGCCGAGAAGAACCCUUGCUUCUUCUCCAUCCCCCUCCCUAAACGCAGACCACAAAGCUAUGGGCUCGAACGUGAAUCCUAAAAGGAAGUCGAAAACAUGCACCGAUUCGCUUAGAAGGUUUCCAAACAGGGAUUCGCUUACAAGUUUUCCAAACACGGAGAGGGAAGCCAGAGGCGAGGCGGGAUUAUAAAUGCGAUUAUUCUUCUUCGAAGGAUAGAGGAGAGAGAAAAAAGGAAGACUGCGAGCGUGCGACAGUGUGAGAGCGAAGGCGAAAAG